Molecule: non-coding RNA, 511 nt
Organism: Dermacentor albipictus
Lineage: Eukaryota; Metazoa; Arthropoda; Arachnida; Ixodida; Ixodidae
Source: RefSeq, a predicted model, not a curated record
UCUGGCAUCCAACCCCGGUGCUGCGCUAUGCAUGUCCGUUCGGCGAGCGCCUCUCAAGCGUGUCGGGAGCUGAAGGCCAAUGUUGCAGGCCUCUCCGAAAAGUGCGCGGCGUUGCUACACUGCUGACUGCUUUCGCGGACACAAGAAUGCAGGCGCGUUACGUGAUCUUCGCCGUUCUGCUGGCUGUGCUGGUCAUCUGUGCCGCCGAAGACCUCGGUCCGUUUCGGUUGCGACGUUCUCCACGCUGUGGGAAAAACGCGGCGCACCAAAGAUGCGGCCCUCCAUGCGAGAACAUCUGCGGUCAACCAGAAAAUCGAGAGUGUAGAAAGGCGACAUGCACUCCCAAGUGCGUCUGCCUUAGGGGUCAUGUCCGUACGGCCGAGGGAGACUGCAUCACCCAUCAACAGUGCCGCAAGAAGAAAGGAUAAGCACGUGCUCCAGGACGCCUACCCCCAUAACGCCAACAUUCACUUCCUUAGACGUUUACUGAAAUAAAUUCAUUCGUUCAAUC